This is a long non-coding RNA of Lampris incognitus (smalleye Pacific opah), 219 nucleotides long. RefSeq lists it as uncharacterized. NCBI's taxonomy places the organism in Eukaryota, Metazoa, Chordata, Actinopteri, Lampriformes, Lampridae. The transcript has 3 exons. The record is from RefSeq and is a predicted model, not a curated record.
GCAACUGGGAUGGCUCGGACGAGUGGAGGCCAUGCUGAGAGUAAGGCAGAUUCCUUGCCAGCAAACAGAGGAAUGAAGAGGAAAGCUAUGGAUCAAGAUACCACAAUCAGACUAGCAAAAAGACAGUCUACUGUGUCCGGCUGUGCUGAAAACACUGAGGCCGAUUGUAAAGAGGAGCAGGAGCACAUCCCGAUAAUAGAGAUCAACUCGGUGUGCUCG